UACAGAGGGUGCGAGCGUUAAUCGGAAUUACUGGGCGUAAAGCGCGCGUAGGCGGCUUUGCAAGUCGGGUGUGAAAUCCCCAGGCUUAACCUGGGAACUGCAUUCGAGACUGCAUUGCUAGAGUAUGGGGGAGGGAAGUGGAAUUUCCGGUGUAGCGGUGAAAUGCGUAGAUAUCGGAAGGAACAUCAGUGGCGAAAGCGACUUCCUGGACCAAUACUGACGCUCAUGUGCGAAAGCGUGGGGAGCAAACAGG
This 253-nucleotide ribosomal RNA is filed under the name uncultured bacterium. Its description in RNAcentral is "partial 16S ribosomal RNA". It matches the Rfam family "Bacterial small subunit ribosomal RNA", at positions 524 to 776 of the family's 1533-position model. The record is from RNAcentral.